This 3026-nucleotide long non-coding RNA is filed under the name Olea europaea subsp. europaea. Lineage: Eukaryota; Viridiplantae; Streptophyta; Magnoliopsida; Lamiales; Oleaceae. The record is from RNAcentral.
CGUAAAUGCUUUUUUUUUUCUCUUUUCUUUCCCUUAUCUUUUCAUAUCGUCCCAAUUAUUUUUCAUCUCAUUCAAUUUUACCAAAUGGGGCCGGCGUCUUCGUUCGUUCCUACUGCGUUCGUGCCAUUCUCUCCCGAAAAACACUUUCUUCAAUCAGUCAUCAGCCGCCUCCGAGUCUUCGCCGUUUAUCUGCAGUCUCUGAUGUUGAACUUUUCAAUCGCGGCUGCCCUAGAUGCAAGUCACGAUUCACGCAGCAGCAACACCUUUGGGCUUCGAAAUAGAGCCCUUGAAGCAACCGACAGUAGACUGCGAACCUGAGAUAGUGGGACCUUGAGGGCUAAGUCUUCUUGACCUUCGAUUCGCGACGCUAGCACCAGCACGGCAGCACAGCAGAAACUGCAGAAGGAGAAGGUGAGCCUCCUGAUUUUGAUUCCUAAACUCUACCCCUACAAUCAAGUUUUUCUUAAAUUUUUAUCUAUAGUUGAAUAUUGACAGUUAUUUACUUAUUAAUUGUUUGUUUUUAACAUAUGAAAUUACUUUUGAAUUGCUAUUGGAUGGAUUGAAGUCUUGAAUUGCUUUUGAUUUUUGAAUGCUCUUGAAAUUAGACCUAGGAGCUUGAAAUUGAUUUUUCGAAUGCUCUUGGAAUUGAUUUUUGAAUGCUCUUGAAAUCUCAGAUUUAUAAAUCUUAGAUUUUCUUGGACACAAUUUUUUUUAUCGGUAUUUUUUUCUUGGACACAAUUAAUUGCACUCAAGGUUGUGAAAAAGUUGCUUCUGCUAAUAGAAAUACAAAUAAUCAUGUCUCUAUUGCUAAAUAGAUGAAAACAAGAGUGUUGAGGACUGGUGGAACUGUUCUUCACUGGACUUCUCAAUCUGCUACUGGGAGAGUGGUAAUUUAUUACAAGAUAUCAUUACUCGAUGAAUUACUCAGUGUUGAUUUUGUACAUAUAGAUGUAGUAGUCUGUGAAUGUAAUUUUCGUAGAAAUUGGUUGAAGUUACACUUGUCAACAUUAUAGUUGUAUAGAAAGUGAAAAUGACAAAUCGUUGUUGAGUCUCGAGAGGAGAAAGUAUUUAGAACUGGGUUACUUUUGGGUUCGUGUAAUACAUUCAUAUUAGGUAGAAGUUGAAAUCUAGGAGCAAUAUUUAUUGGAUUCUAGAACUUGGAUCCUUUGAGCAGGUAUUUUUGUGUAGGUUCAUCUUUUUAGCAAGAUUAGGGGCUGUUUAUUGGGGGAACAAGUGGGGCAUGAGUUUUUAUUGCUAAAGUGUAAGUACAUUUCACCCUUAAAAAAAGAAAUCCAUAACUUUUUUCUUCAUACAAGUUCAAUGGAAAAUUAGUAGUUCUUUCUCUCCCUCAGUAAAGAAGUUGCUAUUUUUUUACUAAGGUCUACAAUUAUAUCUCGACCUGUUUUUUGGCCCUUCUGAACUGCGAUCUUAGGUCUUAUGAUAGGCUAAUAGUCUGAUUAAUGUUUCAUUGGAGUUCGCUUUUAUGUAUGUUACAUACUGAUCAGUGUAGUUGUUGAAGCUUAAUUGUAAAUUGAGAGUGAAUAUAAAACAUAAAGAAACAGUGGACAACAAUUUGUGCACCAAAUUAAGUACUAUGAGUUUCAGUGGAUGUUUGUUCGAUUAUUUGGGCUGUCAAAGGUGUUUUCAACAAAACUGACACCUCUUAUUUGAAUCAGUAGGUAACUUCAUCAAUUCAUGCUUUCAGCUCAUAGAAUUUCUAUUGCAGAGUUAAUAGUCAUUGAAAAUUUUUUGGAGAUCUCUCUUUUGCAUCUCUGAACUAUUUGACAUGUACUUUUAAUUGAAAGAGUGUGAUAAGAUUAUAUUAAUAUCUCGAGUAAAAAAAUAGAACCAUGCUAAUUGGUCAUUAAAAUAUUAAUUAUGAAUUUUUAUUAGUGUUACGAGGUAAUAAAAUUGAUGUCACCUUCAAGACGAUCUUUUUAGUGAACUUUAUGCAAAGCUCUGGUAGGAUAAUAUGGGCAGGAUAGAGUGAUGAUGAAAAUGACAGAAAAUUAUUGACGACAAUAUGUUCUUGCCGAGUAAGGGAAGAUUAAUUGUUUAGAGCAAGAUAAAACAAGGAAAGAAGAUUAGCGCAUGUUCUUGGUGCUGAUAAAUAGUCUUCAAGAACAAAGAAUCAUGACUUUUCUUAUUUCUGAGGGUCCAGUGGUAGGGUUAUAAAGAAUAGAUCCUUGGACUUGAUAAUUGAAUGUGCUAGGAAUCUGAAGAAGCUGUUCCCAAAGUGUGGGGAAACAGUUUCAAGGAGAUGAAUACCAAAGAAAGAAUACGAUACAAAGAAACUAUGAACCACAUCGAUUACUCACUGUGGAGAACACGUUAUGAAUUUCAUUUCUUGAGUUAGAUAGGCUUCAAAAGAAUUUAAAAUAUCUUUGUUGAACUGUGAAAGAAAUUAAACUCAAACUCUGAAAGAGAUUCAGAGACGGAAUCAUUCACCAAUGCCCUAUUCCCCCUACAAUCUUUUGGGAAAAUGAAAUGUCAUGUAAUGGCCUGGAGAAAAUUGUAAUAUUCUUCUUUCUAAAAACAAAUAUGGCCCUUUCUAUAUGAUUUUUACAGUUUUAGCUUAUGUUAGCAUGGAAUUCAUUGGGAGAGUUUCAUCUUUCAUUGAGUUGCAAUGCCUUGUGUUACGAUUGAAAUUUUGUUUGUUUCUCUUCUCUCCGUAUUCUUAGCCAAUUGUAGUUUUACUCUAUUUUGUAGGAUUAUAUCUCCAUGCUGUAAGUGAGACAAAGUUAGUGGUAGACACAUCAAGUGGAGAAAGACUUCGGAUAAAUGUAGAAUCCAUUUCUUGUAAUUACUAUUUUUUGACAUCACACAGCUGAAAAUUAUUGUAUUCUGAAUUUCAGUAAUCUCUCCUUUUCAUUGCCCUACUCUCUUUAAGUAUGUGUCGGACCUCUUCGAUUUUUAUUUCCUUCAUGUGCGUAACAUUUGUUACCCGAUUAUUACAAUUAAGUACCUCGUCUUUGGCUCAUUUAUGGCGUUGAAUUUAUAUUUUUUUUUUGAAUAAAUCAGUGAAG